UUAAAUUUCUUUAUUAAUUUUUUAUAUAUAAUUUAUAUUAAAUAUAAAAAUAUAUUUUUUAAAUAAAAAGACGAUAAGACCCUAUUAAAUUUUACUUAUAGUUUAACUGGGGAAGUUUUAAAAAUAAAAUUUUUUAUAAAAAUAAAAAUAAAUCUAAUAAAAUUAAAAUUAAAUUAAAUUACUAUAGGGAUAACAGCAUUAUAUUUUUUAAAAGUUCAUAUUAAAAAAAAUGAUUGUGACCUCGAUGUUGAAUUAUAUUUUCUUUAUUAAUGCAAUAAUUAUAAAAGUAGAUCUGUUCGAUCUUUAAAAUAUUACAUGAUUUGAGUUCAAACCGGUGUAAACCAGGUUGGUUUCUAUCUUUUUAUAAAUUCAUAUAUAUAUAUAUAUAUAUAUAAAUUUUUCAAGUACGAAAGGAAAAAAAAAUUUUUAUUUUAAUUAAUUAGCAAUUAAUAUGCAUUAGAUUUAGAAUCUAAAUAAACUAUUAUU
This 486-nucleotide unclassified non-coding RNA is filed under the name Anelosimus eximius. Its description in RNAcentral is "partial contains 16S ribosomal RNA and tRNA-Leu (trnL)". The stretch from base 65 to 362 matches the Rfam family "Bacterial large subunit ribosomal RNA", at positions 2074 to 2646 of the family's 2925-position model. The record is from RNAcentral. Lineage: Eukaryota; Metazoa; Arthropoda; Arachnida; Araneae; Theridiidae.